This 497-nucleotide ribosomal RNA is filed under the name uncultured bacterium. Its description in RNAcentral is "partial 16S ribosomal RNA". It matches the Rfam family "Bacterial small subunit ribosomal RNA", at positions 28 to 507 of the family's 1533-position model. The record is from RNAcentral.
GAUGAACGCUGGCGGCGUGCCUAAUACAUGCAAGUCGAGCGAACGGACGAGAAGCUUGCUUCUCUGCUGUUAGCGGCGGACGGGUGAGUAACACGUGGAUAACCUACCUAUAAGACUGGGAUAACUUCGGGAAACCGUAGCUAAUACCGGAUAAUAUUUUGAACCGCAUGGUUCAAAAGUGAAAGACGGUCUUGCUGUCACUUAUAGAUGGAUCCGCGCUGCAUUAGCUAGUUGGUAAGGUAACGGCUUACCAAGGCAACGAUGCAUAGCCGACCUGAGAGGGUGAUCGGCCACACUGGAACUGAGACACGGUCCAGACUCCUACGGGAGGCAGCAGUAGGGAAUCUUGCGCAAUGGGCGAAAGCCUGACGGAGCAACGCCGCGUGAGUGAUGAAGGUCUUCGGAUCGUAAAACUCUGUUAUUAGGGAAGAACAUAUGUGUAAGUAACUGUGCACAUCUUGACGGUACCUAAUCAGAAAGCCACGGCUAACUACGUG